UUGAUCUAUCUCCGUUCCAGAAUAGAUGACCAACUUUAUACUAAAAUUAGUACAAAGUUGGGUUAUCUAUUUUAGAACGGAAGGAGUAC
RNAcentral lists this microRNA precursor (89 nucleotides) under Triticum aestivum (bread wheat). RNAcentral describes it as "miR1137b stem-loop (tae-MIR1137b)". The record is from miRBase by way of RNAcentral. Lineage: Eukaryota; Viridiplantae; Streptophyta; Magnoliopsida; Poales; Poaceae.